CAAUAGCGUAUAUUAAAGUUGUUGCAGUUAAAAAGCUCGUAGUUGGAUUUCUGGUGGGAGCGAUCGGUCUGGCGCUUAGCGCGAGUACUUGCAUCGUCUCCGGCCAUCCUUGGGGAGAGUCUGUCUGGCAUUAAGUUGUCGGGCAGAGGAUCCUCAUCGUUUACUGUGAAAAAAUUAGAGUGUUCAAAGCAGGCUUAUGCCGUUGAAUAUAUUAGCAUGGAAUAAUAAGAUAGGACUUUGGUACUAUUUUGUUGGUUUGCGCACCAAAGUAAUGAUUAAUAGGGACAGUUGGGGGUAUUCGUAUUCCGUUGUCAGAGGUGAAAUUCUUGGAUUUACGGAAGACGAACUACUGCGAAAGCAUUUGCCAAGGAUGUUUUCAUUAA
This 383-nucleotide ribosomal RNA is filed under the name uncultured eukaryote. Its description in RNAcentral is "partial 18S ribosomal RNA". It matches the Rfam family "Eukaryotic small subunit ribosomal RNA", at positions 592 to 976 of the family's 1831-position model. The record is from RNAcentral.